Molecule: long non-coding RNA, 277 nt
Organism: Gallus gallus (chicken)
Lineage: Eukaryota; Metazoa; Chordata; Aves; Galliformes; Phasianidae
Source: Ensembl
GGGGCUUUAUGGGGUCCUAUGGGGGCUUAAAGUGGUCCUAUGGGCGUCUAUGGGGCCCUUAUGGGGUCCUUAUGGGGUCCUAUGGGGCUCUACGGGGUCCUAUGGGGUCCUUAUGGGGCUCUAUGGGGUCCUUAUGGGGUUCUAUGGGGCUUUAUGGGGGCCUAUGGGGUCCUUAUGAGGCUCUAUGGGGUCCUAUGGGGUUCUAUGGGGCUCUAUGGGGGCUUAAAGGAGUCUUUAUGGGGUUCUUAUGGGGUCCUAUGGGGUUCUAUGGGGUCCU